Molecule: long non-coding RNA, 1107 nt
Filed under: Sus scrofa (pig)
Lineage: Eukaryota; Metazoa; Chordata; Mammalia; Artiodactyla; Suidae
Description: lncRNA (ENSSSCG00055027954.1)
Source: RNAcentral
AUUUAAAGUAAUGUUUUUAGUAAUAGUUUUAACUCAAGACUAAUUUUUGUUUUGUUUUAAUCAUAGCAAUGCAAGGGCAAUUCAGAUCCUGAAAUGCUAAAAACUACUUUCAGCAAAAUAUUCUGUAGAUUCAAAGAAAAACAUUUCCAGAGCAUUAAAGAUCUCAGGAGGCAAUAAAGCAGCCUCCCAUCUUGGGAAGUCCUCCAACAGGUAACUGGAACAAAAGAGGCUGGUUUUCACCUUUAGGGAAAAAGCAAAGACCGGGAUGAACAAAAGGAGGAAAUGAAUGAGAAAAGAAGGAAAACUGCUUGAAUUUUGACUCCGCACCUCCAUUCUUUUGUUUUAUCCCAAGUCCUCAUAUUUUUAGAAAGCCAUAAAGAAGGAGGGAGAAAGAAAAAAAACAGAGAGAGAGAGAAAGCUGGGGCCCAAGGGCCCCAAAACACCACUCCUAGUUAGAUAAAAUAGUAGCAGCUCUAUUCAAAGCUAUAAAAAGCUGCCAGAAGGGCCUCCAAGAUCACAUCCAAAAAUAGCUUCAAAUCACUCUCAGAGCAUAGCUCUGUCAGAGACAGACAGGGCAUUCAUUUCCUCAUCUUCAGUUCACUCCCCAAAUCAGAUAAUCUUUCUAAAGAAGGUACGUAUUGAAACACACCAAGUGGCCUGAUCAAGCAUAAGGCGUAAUCGGAACACACUGUAGAAUAAGCUCUUAGGUACAGAAAAUUUUUUGAAAUAGUUUUUACAUGGUCUCAAGUCCUAAUGGAUUUGGAUAUAAUGAAUAGAUGAAUAAUUAUCUGACUACAGAGCACUGAUUUCCCAAACAAACCCAUAGCAUAAAUUACAGGAGGAAAAAAAAGAAUAAAACCCAAACCAAAUGGAACAACCCUUCCAUAGAAGUCGUUGUAAAUUUUUUCCCCUACAAAGGCAAAAACUGGGAAGGAAAUAAAAGCCUUCCUGCUACUACUCACACCGAGAAAUGUGCAACACAUUCUAGCUUUACACUAUUCUUUUGUAGACAGUGAUGUAUUAAGUCUAGAAGUACUGGGCUAAAGUUACUACAGUGUUGGCUUAACUAUAUUUCUGAGGAGGUAAUUUACAAGGCUCGGCGCCUCA